GUCUACGGCCACACCACCCUGAACGUGCCCGAUCUCAUCUCCUCUCGGAAGCUAAGCGGGGUUGGGCCUGGUUAGUACUUGGAUGGGAGAAUUAUCUGGGGUUUGCUAAGAGAGCAGAAUCCUGGGCC
RNAcentral lists this ribosomal RNA (128 nucleotides) under Propithecus coquereli (Coquerel's sifaka). Lineage: Eukaryota; Metazoa; Chordata; Mammalia; Primates; Indriidae. The record is from RNAcentral.